Plasmodiophora brassicae is the source of this 72-nucleotide transfer RNA. It matches the Rfam family "tRNA". From Rfam's summary of the family: Transfer RNA (tRNA) molecules are approximately 80 nucleotides in length. Their secondary structure includes four short double-helical elements and three loops (D, anti-codon, and T loops). The record is from Rfam. NCBI's taxonomy places the organism in Eukaryota, Endomyxa, Phytomyxea, Plasmodiophorida, Plasmodiophoridae.
GCCACAAUGGCGCAGUGGCAGCGCACCCGCUUUGUAAGCGGUAGGCCGCGUGUUCAAUCCACGCUUGUGGUA